UCGAACUCAUUUCCACCGGCUCAGUGUA
RNAcentral lists this small RNA (28 nucleotides) under Bombyx mori (domestic silkworm). RNAcentral describes it as "ovarian small RNA-7461". The record is from RNAcentral. Lineage: Eukaryota; Metazoa; Arthropoda; Insecta; Lepidoptera; Bombycidae.